UCCCUGGUGGUCCACUGGUUAGGACUCAGCACUUUCACUGCCAUGACCCAGGUUUAAUUCCUGAUCAGGGAA
RNAcentral lists this transfer RNA (72 nucleotides) under Bos taurus (domestic cattle). It matches the Rfam family "tRNA". Rfam says of the family: Transfer RNA (tRNA) molecules are approximately 80 nucleotides in length. The record is from Rfam by way of RNAcentral. Lineage: Eukaryota; Metazoa; Chordata; Mammalia; Artiodactyla; Bovidae. RNAcentral also lists the same sequence under 3 other names.